Molecule: ribosomal RNA, 482 nt
Filed under: Enterococcus faecium
Lineage: Bacteria; Bacillati; Bacillota; Bacilli; Lactobacillales; Enterococcaceae
Description: partial 23S ribosomal RNA
Rfam family: Bacterial large subunit ribosomal RNA
Source: RNAcentral
AGUUUACCGAAGCUGUGGAGUGCACCGUAAGGUGCAUUGGUAGGAGAGCGUUCUAAGGGCGUUGAAGGUAGAUCGUGAGGACUACUGGAGCGCUUAGAAGUGAGAAUGCCGGUAUGAGUAGCGAAAGACAGGUGAGAAUCCUGUCCACCGUAUGACUAAGGUUUCCUGGGGAAGGCUCGUCCGCCCAGGGUUAGUCGGGACCUAAGCCGAGGCCGACAGGCGUAGGCGAUGGACAACAGGUUGAUAUUCCUGUACCCGUUGUUUUUGUUUGAGCAAUGGAGGGACGCAGGAGGCUAAGAAGUGCAGACUGAUGGAUAUGUCUGUUCAAGCAGUGAGUCUUAGUGGGAGUCAAAUGCUUCUACUUUCAAGGACAAGCUGUGAUGAGGAGGGAAAUAAUAGUACCGAAGCUUCUGAUGUCACACUGCCAAGAAAAGCUUCUAGUGAGAAAACAAUGGCCCGUACCGCAAACCGACACAGGUAGU